RNAcentral lists this ribosomal RNA (317 nucleotides) under Hermanniella septentrionalis. RNAcentral's name for it is "eukaryotic LSU rRNA". It matches the Rfam family "Eukaryotic large subunit ribosomal RNA", at positions 666 to 944 of the family's 3401-position model. The record is from RNAcentral. RNAcentral also lists the same sequence under 1 other name. Lineage: Eukaryota; Metazoa; Arthropoda; Arachnida; Sarcoptiformes; Hermanniellidae.
CCAAGGAGUCUAACAUGUGCGCGAGUCACUCGGUCUUGAAUAGGCCAGAGAGGCACAAUGAAAGUAAAGUUGAUUGAGUUACGAUCCUUAGUUGAUUUACCCUUAAGUGGGUAACGCUGAGGCGCAGUAACAGCCCGCCAAUUUCGCUUGUUGACGAUAUGGCGGAGUUGUAGCGUACACGUUGGUACCCGAAAGAUGGUGAACUAUGCCUGGGCAAGACGAAGCCAGAGGAAACUCUGGUGGAGGUCUGUAGCGAUUCUGACGUGCAAAUCGAUCGUCAGACCUGGGUAUAGGGGCGAAAGACUAAUCGAACCAUC